AUGCCUUUGAUGCUAUUAUGGAGAAGAAUCGUCAAGCAUAGGAUGAUCAGAAAUAUCUUCUUCAGGAGGAUGAGACUCAUGCCGAGACCUAGAAAGCUCUUAAAGAUGAGGGUUAGUGACCAGGCUAUGGAGAAAGCAAGGAGUUUCUUUCUUAAUUCUAUUAUCUCAGCCGAAGCGCUACACUCGUUUCAAGCUUCUUUUGAGGCAGUUCUAGAAGGUGAUCUUGGUGCCCCUGCUCUGGGAGCUUCGACUUAA
Vicia faba (fava bean) is the source of this 255-nucleotide non-coding RNA. The record is from the annotation of a GenBank genome assembly. NCBI's taxonomy places the organism in Eukaryota, Viridiplantae, Streptophyta, Magnoliopsida, Fabales, Fabaceae.